Long non-coding RNA from Pecten maximus, 1399 nucleotides. RefSeq lists it as uncharacterized. Lineage: Eukaryota; Metazoa; Mollusca; Bivalvia; Pectinida; Pectinidae. The record is from RefSeq and is a predicted model, not a curated record. The transcript has 2 exons.
CGCGUGACGUACUAUAUAUGUAUGCACGUUUGAUAAAUCAGAUGUCAAAAUACACACCAAGAAUAGCCCUGAGCCAGGACCCUGUCGAGACUGAGAUGUUGUUUAGACGACGGCUGUCCUGGAUGUUUAGUUCAUCCUUUUAUUGAGACGUUACCUGCAGAUGGCAUACUGCAACGAGCUUCCAUAUUGACCGGAGAAACCCUGCACGUGAACCAGAUACAGAAAAUAUGCAUUGAGCUGCGACAAGGAACCGGCCGAGUACCCUGGGAGAAUGUGAGAGAAGACGUUGAAGUUUAGGAGACAAAACCUCAAAAGACCAGGGAACUAAAGUAGGAACCCAAAGAUAGUAAACAAGAGGCAGGGGGAACAAGGCGAGAGCUCUAAGAUAGUAAACAAGAGGCAGGGAGAACAAGGCGAGAGCUCUAAGAUAGUAAACAAGAGGCAGGGGGAACAAGGCGAGAGCUCUAAGAUAGUGAGGAUAGUGCGAGAGACUAUAGGCUGGCGAAACGAGAACACCAAAAUUGCAACUUAUUGAAACGGGUCUCAAGUAAUGGCCUCAAGAGUAUUUAAGGCUUAAGACAGAACUCGAAAUUGCUGAGAGCUUAUAGGAGGCAAAAGGACAACCAAAAACAGAUCAACAAAACAAAGCCAGAACUCCUAAUGAUGGCCAUGACUACCGUGAAUUAAUGAACAAAACCACGACCCAGAUUUCAAUUUGAGUUCCAAGAUGAUGGACCCACUGGAUGAAAAACACAUCCAGGUGUGGGAUGAAAAUCCACACAAACAGGCGAAUACGGCCACACUGGCCUCGAAAUGUUCUAACGGCAAACUCACAUUGAUUUGUACAUUUUUGUUUUUGUUAAGUCUUUUUAUGCUCUUAGUGAUGUACAAAGAUAUAUGGCGUAUGAAUUUGAUGUCAAACAAACUCAAAGAAUCCCUCCAUGACGUAGAGGAAGUACAUAAACGUGUUACCUGGAUGAUCAAUCGCAUCAGGCAUGCGCAAAACAUGUCGUCUGUGUCAGAAGUGUUGAGCAACGUCAGACAUGUGUGAGUCAGUCGUGUUGUCAACACAACGAAUGUCCCCACGAGAGUUUAAAGGAUAUAGAUGCUGAAGCAUGAACCAACUCCGGGACCAAAAUUCCAAAAAUUUCUUUAGGCAUUUCCUGUUUUUCUCUACUAACAUAGAAGAACAAUUGGGAUUACUCGAAGUUAUGUAUCACACUCUCGAGAUAUCCUAAAACGUCUCCUUGUCGAAUUAUAUACAGUGGACUCUGUCUGAACCGGACACCUUUGGGACCACAUAAUAAAGCCGGUUUGUAGACAGUUCCGGAUUGUAGAGAUUCUACUUGAUAUCGUUGUUGAAUGCAAAAAAAAUGAAUAAAAGAUAUAUCAUAAAGUA